CAUUAAGUGGCUGAAAGUCAAGCAAUGGUCUCUUAAACCAAUAAAUGGUAACUUACAAAUACCCUUAAUGA
This 71-nucleotide transfer RNA is filed under the name Dictyla platyoma. RNAcentral describes it as "tRNA-Lys". It matches the Rfam family "tRNA". Rfam says of the family: Transfer RNA (tRNA) molecules are approximately 80 nucleotides in length. The record is from RNAcentral. Lineage: Eukaryota; Metazoa; Arthropoda; Insecta; Hemiptera; Tingidae.